GACGAACGCUGGCGGCGUGCUUAACACAUGCAAGUCGAACGGAAAGGCCCUGCUUUUGUGGGGUGCUCGAGUGGCGAACGGGUGAGUAACACGUGAGUAACCUGCCCUUGACUUUGGGAUAACUUCAGGAAACUGGGGCUAAUACCGGAUAGGAGCUCCUGCUGCAUGGUGGGGGUUGGAAAGUUUCGGCGGUUGGGGAUGGACUCGCGGCUUAUCAGCUUGUUGGUGGGGUAGUGGCUUACCAAGGCUUUGACGGGUAGCCGGCCUGAGAGGGGGACCGGCCACAUUGGGACUGAGGUACGGCGCAGACUCCAACGGGAGGCAGCAGUGGAGAAUAUUGCACAAUGGGCGGAAGCCUGAUGCAGCAGCGCCGCGUGCGGGAUGACGGCCUUCGGGUUGUAAACCGCUUUCGCCUGUGACGAAGCGUGAGUGACGGUAAUGGGUAAAGAAGCACCGGCUAACUACGUG
This 468-nucleotide ribosomal RNA is filed under the name uncultured bacterium. RNAcentral's name for it is "partial 16S ribosomal RNA". It matches the Rfam family "Bacterial small subunit ribosomal RNA", at positions 28 to 507 of the family's 1533-position model. The record is from RNAcentral.